AUUGAACGCUGGCGGCAUGCCUUACACAUGCAAGUCGAGCGGCAGCACGGGUACUUGUACCUGGUGGCGAGCGGCGGACGGGUGAGUAAUACCUAGGAAUCUGCCUGGUAGUGGGGGAUAACGUUCGGAACGGACGCUAAUACCGCAUACGUCCUACGGGAGAAAGCAGGGACCUUCGGGCCUUGCGCUAUCAGAUGAGC
Molecule: ribosomal RNA, 200 nt
Filed under: uncultured bacterium
Lineage: Bacteria
Description: partial 16S ribosomal RNA
Rfam family: Bacterial small subunit ribosomal RNA
Source: RNAcentral